This 494-nucleotide ribosomal RNA is filed under the name uncultured bacterium. Its description in RNAcentral is "partial 16S ribosomal RNA". It matches the Rfam family "Bacterial small subunit ribosomal RNA", at positions 28 to 507 of the family's 1533-position model. The record is from RNAcentral.
GAUGAACGCUGGCGGCGUGCCUAAUACAUGCAAGUCGAGCGAACAGACGAGGAGCUUGCUCCUCUGACGUUAGCGGCGGACGGGUGAGUAACACGUGGAUAACCUACCUAUAAGACUGGGAUAACUUCGGGAAACCGGAGCUAAUACCGGAUAAUAUAUUGAACCGCAUGGUUCAAUAGUGAAAGACGGUUUUGCUGUCACUUAUAGAUGGAUCCGCGCCGCAUUAGCUAGUUGGUAAGGUAACGGCUUACCAAGGCAACGAUGCGUAGCCGACCUGAGAGGGUGAGCCACACUGGAGGUGAGGCGAGACGCUGACGACUACUAGAGGAAGCAGUAGUAGGUAUUCCGCAAUAGUCGGAGACCUGAUGGAGGAACACCGCGGGGGUAAUGAUGGUCUUCUGAGCGUAGUACACCUCUGUUAUUAGAGAAGAAAAAAGGAGUAAGCUACUAUCGUCGUGACGAUGGCAAAUCAGAAGACCGCGGCGGACAACGUG